GCUGGGUGUGGUGGUGCACACCUGUAGUCCCAGCUACUUGGGAGGCUGAGGCAGAAGAAUCACUUGAACCCGGGAGGCGGAGGUUGCAGUGAGCUGAGAUCAUGCCACUGCACUCCAGUCUGGGUGACAGAGUGAGACUCCGUCUCAA
RNAcentral lists this non-coding RNA (148 nucleotides) under Pan troglodytes (chimpanzee). Lineage: Eukaryota; Metazoa; Chordata; Mammalia; Primates; Hominidae. The record is from Rfam by way of RNAcentral.